GGCGAGAGGAGGUAGUAAAGACAAAUAUCGAUACAGAACUCAUUAGAGGUACUGUAAUCGAAAUGAGUGCAUUAUAAAUCCUACAACAAGGAUCUAUUGGAGGGCAAGUCUGGUGCCAGCAGCCGCGGUAACUCCAGCUCCAAUAGCAUAUAUUAAAAUUGCUGCAGUUAAAAAGCUCGUAGUUGGAUCUGGGUUCAGGUUCGGCUUACUUUGGGUUUACUUUAUCUUCGGAUUUUGUUUUCCCUUUGUUUGCUGGGCCGAAUCUUCCAGCUGUGUCUAGGUGGGACUUCGGUCUUGCUUAGAUAGUGGCGUUGUCUACGCUUGCCUCACGGCUUGCUAGCUUCGUUACUAUGCACUUGGAUGCCUUUUACCGGGUGUCCAGUGUGGACAGCACGUUUACUUUGAACAAAUUUGAGUGCUCAAAGCAGGCCUUGU
RNAcentral lists this ribosomal RNA (435 nucleotides) under Swingleus porterensis. RNAcentral describes it as "bacterial SSU rRNA". It matches the Rfam family "Eukaryotic small subunit ribosomal RNA", at positions 453 to 790 of the family's 1831-position model. Lineage: Eukaryota; Metazoa; Platyhelminthes; Monogenea; Gyrodactylidea; Gyrodactylidae. The record is from RNAcentral.